This 167-nucleotide microRNA precursor is filed under the name Pelobates cultripes (western spadefoot toad). Lineage: Eukaryota; Metazoa; Chordata; Amphibia; Anura; Pelobatidae. The record is from RNAcentral.
GCAGACACAUUCCAGCCAAUCAGCAGCAGACCCUCCCUCCCAGACCCUCCCACCUCCUGGACAGCUCACUAAGAAUGCAGCUUCACAAUGAAUGUAAAAUGGAUGCUGUCCAGGAGGUGGGAGGGUCUGGGAGGGAGGGCCUGCUGCUGAUUGGCUGGAAUGUGUAU